GAUGAACGCUGGCGGCGUGCCUAAUACAUGCAAGUCGAGCGAACAGACGAGGAGCUUGCUCCUUUGACGUUAGCGGCGGACGGGUGAGUAACACGUAGGUAACCUACCUAUAAGACUGGGAUAACUUCGGGAAACCGGAGCUAAUACCGGAUAAUAUUUCGAACCGCAUGGUUCGAUAGUGAAAGAUGGCUUUGCUAUCACUUAUAGAUGGACCUGCGCCGUAUUAGCUAGUUGGUAAGGUAACGGCUUACCAAGGCAACGAUACGUAGCCGACCUGAGAGGGUGAUCGGCCACACUGGAACUGAGACACGGUCCAGACUCCUACGGGAGGCAGCAGUAGGGAAUCUUCCGCAAUGGGCGAAAGCCUGACGGAGCAACGCCGCGUGAGUGAUGAAGGUCUUCGGAUCGUAAAACGCUGUUAUUAGGGAAGAACAAACGUGUAAGUAACUGUGCACGUCUUGACGGUACCGAAGCAGAAAGCCACGGCUAACUACGG
This 496-nucleotide ribosomal RNA is filed under the name uncultured bacterium. RNAcentral's name for it is "partial 16S ribosomal RNA". It matches the Rfam family "Bacterial small subunit ribosomal RNA", at positions 28 to 506 of the family's 1533-position model. The record is from RNAcentral.